CCCUUAGAUGUUCUGGGCUGCACGCGUGCUACAAUGGCGCUUGCAACAAGUCUUGCCAACCCGAUAGGGUGAGCGGAUCUUUGAAGAGGCGUCGUGAUCGGGACAGUUGAUUGCAAUUAUUCGACUCGAACGAGGAAUUCCUUGUAAUCGCGAUUCAUCAUAUCGCGCUGAAUACGUCCCUGCCCUUUGUACACACCGCCCGUCGCUCCUACCGAUUGAGCGAUCCGGUGAAUAUUUUGGACUGGCGUCAGAAGCGGUUCGCUCCUGACACUACGAAAUUUUGUAAACCUUAUCGCUUAGAGGAAGGAAAAGUCGUAACA
This 320-nucleotide ribosomal RNA is filed under the name uncultured eukaryote. RNAcentral describes it as "partial 18S ribosomal RNA". It matches the Rfam family "Eukaryotic small subunit ribosomal RNA", at positions 1470 to 1796 of the family's 1831-position model. The record is from RNAcentral.